UAAGUUGCAGUAUGCUCUGCUUGAGCAGA
RNAcentral lists this small RNA (29 nucleotides) under Bombyx mori (domestic silkworm). RNAcentral's name for it is "piRNA piR-bmo-2182782". The record is from RNAcentral. Lineage: Eukaryota; Metazoa; Arthropoda; Insecta; Lepidoptera; Bombycidae.